AAACCAACAGGGAUUGCCUCAGUAGCGGCGAGUGAAGCGGCAAGAGCUCAGAUUUGAAAUCUCACCUAGUGUGCGAGUUGUAAAUUGCAGGUUGGAGUCUCGGGUUAGACGUGUGUGCAAGUCCCUUGGAACAGGGUGCCACUGAGGGUGAGAGCCCCGUAGCGUGCAUGUCGACACCUGUGAGGCCCUUCUGACGAGUCGAGUUGUUUGGGAAUGCAGCUCUAAGUGGGUGGUAAAUUCCAUCUAAGGCUAAAUAUUGGCGAGAGACCGAUAGCGAACAAGUACUGUGAAGGAAAGAUGAAAAGCACUUUGAAAAGAGAGUGAAACAGCACGUGAAAUUGUUGAAAGGGAAGGGUAUUGGGCUCGACAUGGGAUUUACGCAUCGUUGCCUCUCGUGGGCGGCGCUCUGGGUUUUUCCUGGGCCAGCAUCGGUUUUCGUUGCAGGAUAAGGACAAUUGGAAUGUGGCUCCUCGGAGUGUUAUAGCCUUUUGUAGAUGCUGCGUAUGGGGACCGAGGGCUGCGGCGGACUCGUUUCGUCUCGGAUGCUGGCACAACGGCGCAAUACCGC
RNAcentral lists this ribosomal RNA (568 nucleotides) under Pichia kluyveri. Its description in RNAcentral is "eukaryotic LSU rRNA". It matches the Rfam family "Eukaryotic large subunit ribosomal RNA", at positions 62 to 648 of the family's 3401-position model. Lineage: Eukaryota; Fungi; Ascomycota; Pichiomycetes; Pichiales; Pichiaceae. The record is from RNAcentral.